CACAGGUCUGGCAUAGGCGCCCUGGCAAGCUAGUUUGCCAUGUGUUAUGACCAUAGCACACGGCAAACUCCCUUCUUUGCCGUGUGUUAUGGUCCUAGAACACGGCAAAGCCCCUUCCCAGGUAAAUUUUUUUUGUUUUUUUUGCUUUUGCAACCAUAUAUAUCAUAGCACAGCUCACAUUAAUCACACAUAGCAUACAAAUAUCAUAAUAUUCGCACAUUUGUCACAAUAACCACGAUAUACGAAUCUCUCACAUGCAUAUAACGUACAUGUCACAUACAUAAGCACAUGUUCAUCACCAAGUCCAAUGAUAUUUCUAGUUCAUCACAAGUCUGAGGAAACCACUAGUUCAACAACACAUCCAACGAAACGAAAAAUUCCAUGAACAAAUUACAAGUUCACCAACCGAAUCCAUCUCGUCUGCCCCAUGAAUUGCCUGGAGGUUGGUACGGAUUGACAUGGUCACUCGACCCACCGUCUUGAGGACUUUGCUCAUUGGGCGCUUGAGUAGAACACUGGGAUUGAAGCUGCACAAAGGAUGAGACAAACGUGUUGUAAGUGAAUUUUGAGAUUAAAUACUUGAAGUUAAAGAUGUACAUAG
This 601-nucleotide long non-coding RNA is filed under the name Sorghum bicolor (sorghum). RNAcentral describes it as "long non-coding RNA (SBIC_LNC007737)". The record is from RNAcentral. Lineage: Eukaryota; Viridiplantae; Streptophyta; Magnoliopsida; Poales; Poaceae.